Molecule: non-coding RNA, 309 nt
Organism: Pelobates cultripes (western spadefoot toad)
Lineage: Eukaryota; Metazoa; Chordata; Amphibia; Anura; Pelobatidae
Source: the annotation of a GenBank genome assembly
CUUACAGCCAUGCUGAGCGUGAGUAUUGGUCAGUCCACCUCAUGGGAUUGCCUUCAAUCAGAACCUUUUGGAUGUUCCAACUGCAUCCAUACACUGAAACUCUAAUUAUGAUUCAACACCUACAAACCAGCCCAGUGUUAAGUAAUCAUAAAGAUAUAAAAAAUUAAAAGCUGUCCUUCAAUCUAAUGUUUGCAAUGACCACAGAGACGACCAUGUGCUGAUGUAAUGAAGUUCCUGGCGCAGGACAUUAUUAGCUGAUACUAAGUAGUCCAGCCAGCACAUGGUCUGCUUAGAAAAAUCCUUAAUAAG